RNAcentral lists this ribosomal RNA (116 nucleotides) under Candidatus Avisuccinivibrio stercorigallinarum. Lineage: Bacteria; Pseudomonadati; Pseudomonadota; Gammaproteobacteria; Aeromonadales; Succinivibrionaceae. The record is from RNAcentral.
CCUGGCGAAGAUAAUGCUGCAGAACCACCUGUAACCAUUCCGAACACAGAAGUGAAAUGCAGAGAUGCCGAUGGUAGUGCAACGUACGUUUGUGCGAGAGCAGGUAAUCGCCAGGC